UGUACCGUCUUAAUAAAUGUGAUAGUACAGGUAAAUGUAAGCAUUUAUUGGUGUGGAUUCGAUAUCCGUCAGAGUUUCAAUGUUAUACGGAUUAAGUGAAAUAAUAAUGGCAGUCUGCUUUUAUUCAAAAAGGUACAAAAUAUCGUAUAGAAAACAUAAUCGAUGUGUAAUGUGUAAAUAAUGUUAAGUUAUAAUGUUAUGUAAUACUUGGCGCCAAAACUUUUAACUGUGGACUCUGAGUUCCAGGAUUUAAUGACAAAGCUGGCAAAACCUAACGCAUUGUGAAUGGUAUUUUAAUUAAAAUGAAAUGUACCUGUACAUGACAAUAGAAACGGAAAAUAUAGUUACAAUCAAUAACGCUAAAAUAAUAGUGAUUAUAAACACUCCUCGUGUUAUCUUCCCUGAGAAAAAAAUGUCGUAUGAGUAUUUUACCCAGAUCACCUAUGUAAGAGACAAGCACGCAAGCAUUACGUCAUUCUUAAAAGUUAUGCUAAAUAAGGCAAAGCAAAUUAUGCUGAUUUUCGGCAGACGAGUCUAUAAUUUGAACUCUCAAACGUCAAAAACAAACUGUACAUAUACCGACGUAUUUUCGGACAGAACUAGGGUAUUUUAAUAACAAAUACAAAAUUCUCAGAUGCAGACAAAAAUUCAAUGGUCGGAUUAUUUGUGUUAGCUGUGACGUCAAAUACGCUCAGCUGCUUUAUGAUAAAGUUCAGCACAGAUUACAUGCGUACACCAGUUCGAUGGAUAUAAUGAAACACAGUUUAAAUGCAGCAGCAAUAAAAUGUGUUGUGGAGAUCAGUGUUGCGGUAUUGAUAUCACCCUAAACCCUCUUUUCUGCACAUACUGAUGACAGUCUUCUCAGUUUGGAGCAGAAGUCUAGUUGUUAAGAUGUAGUCCUCUCAGUCGGAGUGUCUGGGGCUCGGGCCUUACUGUGAUCAAGACCGCACCUUCUCAUAUGACACCUAGGACUGGUAAUUUCAGGAAGUGGAAUCUACAGAGGUUCAAAUAAGGCUUUCAUAAAACAGAUUAAUUUUAACCAGUUUGAUUUCAGUUCUUCUUGUUAUUUUUUUCGUAAAUUUGUUUUAAUAUGUGUUAAUUAAAUUUAUACUACAUCAAAAUAUACAUACGGAUUAUAUAAUUGACAAGUUUAUUUAUAUUAAUAGUACAUUUACAGUACUGAAUAUUCGGUUUAAAAUUGUACAAAUUAUAUAGCUAAACACAAUAUAUAUGUAUAUUACCGCUAAACACUGGAACAGUUUAACAAUCAUGUGCUACUGCAUCUAAUCUAAAUUUGAAUGUAGCUCUACAUACACAAUUUAUUUAUAUAUUUAGUGUAAUUAUAAACAGUUGAAGAGGACUUCCUUCAUUUAAAAUAAAGAUCUAAAGAUAAAAGUUGAAGUGGAUAUCCUUGGGACACCGGGCACAUUUUGAUGCAAUCUCGCCAGGCAUAUGUAUGUUUUUGACAACACAGAAAAUGACGUCACUCGACCUUCAGCUAUUUCCGGAAGUAAAGGAAAUGGAAGUAGACAUGCAAAACUUGAAAACGAAAGUCGUCUUUGGAUUGGUCGAUAGUCAGGGGUCACGCGCAGGGGUCACUCCGUCAAAAUGUAUGCGCGUGGACUUCUUCUUUUUAUUUUUCGUUUUUUUUUUGUUUUUUUUUUUGUUUUUUUUUUCCUUUUUUCCUAAUGCGGAGUCAAUUUUCAGCAUUUUCUAACGAUUUGAAAAUACCUGAGCUUUAGCACAACAUGUCAGCUUUUCAUCUACGAAAACAUAUUUGAACUCGGAAUAAACACAAAUUCCACAGGUGUCCGUAACGGAGCAAGGGUACAUAGAGAUUUUUGAAACUUCGUCAAAUCGCUCAAAAGGUCCUUUUUGAUGUUGUCUGAAAUUCUCAGUAUAAGCCUCUGGUGUAAGAUAUUUCGUAUCUGAGAGCUCCAGACCUAGACAUUUCAGAAAUAUUUUCAAAAUGAAUUUCGUAUAAUAAAUAUUGAUUCUACGGAAGCGUGAAAGGGCCAUCAAACGCUAAUACGUUUUGUCACGUUACAGGUGCUGAAAGGAUAAUUAUCUACGGAAGUUUGUUUAGGAAAUUUCAAUCUUGUAUCAUAUCCGUAAAAUAUGAAAGUGAAAAGUAAUAAAGGCAAAUUAAGAUUCUUCUGUUUACCCUUAGAUAGUAAAAUUAUAAAAAAAAUAAUAUCUACCAACACAUCAUUAUAUUGUAACCAGCAUUGGCAGGCAUUGAAGUAUACUAACAAAUAUAUAUGUAUGACCUAUCCUACCCUCUUGAGAACUACACCGUAUUUGAAACUAUAUGCAGGAUAUAAACAAAUAUUUACAUUUAUAUAAAGGGCUGUCGACGGGAGCUCAAACUAGAUUGAAAACCUUCCAUAUAUGGUCACAAGAGUGAAAUAUCCGUAGCCCAACUUCCUUUCACCUCUCCUCAAGUCCUGGAGCUAGCAGGUGUAUUGUUUCAGUAAAUCGUGUCAAGCUAUAGCUCAGUAAUACACUGCAUGCAGUGGACCUCCACUAGCAGGUGUACUCACACCUGUAUAUUUAUAUUGUAACUGCUAAUGUCUACCUUUCUCCGCCAUAUCAGCUCAAAUUUGAUCGUAAACAAUAGUGACAUUUUUAAGAACGAACGCUGCCCGAUCAUCUUAUACACCAUCAAGUCCUACCCGAUGUUGUUUAUUUAUAUGAGAGACAAACACUUCAUUGUUUUACUUAUACUCUUCAAUAUAUGUAACGUAUAAACUCAAUAAGAUACAAUCGUGAACUACUCACUAUAUGGUUAACAUUAUUAUUAGAUACCUGCUGUAGCACUUAAGUUACGCCCUGAAGGCGUGGUUUCAUGUGUUUAUUAUACAUGAUAUAUAUCAUUUUCUUCCCUUUUUAAUUUAAAGGUCACAACAUUCAAAUAUUAGUAAAAUGUAACAUAAGCAUAAUGUUGAAUUCAACAAAAGAAAAAUAUGAAUGAAAUAUUUCCAACAAUGAUUCAUUUCUGUAACAUUUCCAACGUACUUGUUUACUUGAACUAAUCUGUAGUAAAAUGAGAUAUGUCCUCGGUUUCAGCAUAUUGUUCUAAUUACAUUUAAGAUUAACAUAUCAAGUAAUUGUUUUUAUCUUGGGGAUGUAAUAUCACACUGUUCCUACAUAAUCACACUUUAAUCAAAACCGUAUCUGUCUGGAGGUUUCUUUUUGUCCCGUAAUGGGUACCUCCUCUCAGUACCACUGUCCUGUUUACUGCUUAUUACGGCAGGUGACUUAUCAGUUUUCUCCGCAUUAUCUUGUUUCUCAUGAUCAGUACUUAUAUCACGCGGCAUGUUCUGAACUUCUGGGAUGUAAGUAGAAUAAUUUUACAGUAAUUAUUUUGAUAAAUCCGUGUCAAUUUCAUGCGGCUGAUUUGUCAAUUGCGAUUCAUUCAUUUCAGUUUUUAAUCCCCCGCCGUGGCGGAGGGAUUAUAGGAAUGGUCUGCGUCCGUCCUUCCGUUCUUCCGUCCGUCCGUCCUUCCGUCCGUCCUUCCGUCUGUCCUUCCGUCCGUAACAAAAUCGUGUCCGGUCCAUAUCUCCUAAACCCCUUGAAGGAUUUUCAUGAAACUUGGGUCAAAUGAUCACCUCAUCAAGACGAUGUGCAGAACCCAUGAGUCAGCCUUGUCGGUUCAAGGGCAAGGUCACAACUCAAGGUCAAAGGUUUGAGCCUGCCAUUUUGUGUCCGCUUUAUAUCUCAUAAACCCCUUGAAGGAAUUUUAUAAAACUUGGGUCAAAUGAUCACCUCAUCAAGACGAUGUGCAGAACCCAUAGUCAGCCUUGUCGGCUCAAGGUCAAGGUCACAACUCAAGGUCAAAGGUUUGAGUCUUCCAUUUUGUGUCCGCUCUAUAUCUCCUAAACCCCUUGAAGGAAUUUUAUCAAACUUGGGUCAAAUGAUCACCUCAUCAAGACGAUGUGCAGAACCCAUGAGUCAGUCAUGCCGGCUCCAGGUCAAGGUCACAACUUAGGGUCAAAUGUUUGAGCCUUCCAUUCUGUGUCCGCUCUAUAUCUUCUAAACUCCUUGAAGGAUUUUCAUCAAACUUGGGUCAAAGAUCACCUCAUCAAGGCGAUGUGCAGAACUUAUGAGUCAGCCAUGUCGGCUCAAGGUCAAGGUCACAACUGAAGGUCAAAGGUUUGAGCCUUCCAUUUCGUGUCCGCUAAACCCCUUAAAGGAAUUUUAUAAAACUUAGGUAAAAUGAUUACCUCAUCAAGACGAUGUGCAGAAAUUAUGAGUCAACCAUGCCAGCUCAAGGUCAAGGUCACAACUAAGGGUCGAAGGUUUGAGCCUUCCAUUUUGUGUCCACUCUGUAUCUCCUAAACCCCUUCAAAGAUUUUCAUCAAACUUGGGUCAAAGGAUCACCUCAUCAAGAACUCAUGAGACAGCCAUGUCAACUCAAGGUCAAGGUCACAACUGAAGGUCAAAGGUUUCAGCUCUGUAUCUCCUAAACCCCUUGAAGGAUUUUCUUGAAACUUGGGUCAAAUGAUCACCUCAUCAAGACGUUGUGCAGAAUUCAUGAGUCAGCCAUGUCAGUUCAAGGUCAAGGUCACAGCUAAAAUCAAAGGUUUACCCUUUCACUAUCCAUAGCAGUGGCGGGGGAUUUAGCUGUCCUUCAGACUGCCUUGUUCUUAACUGAUUCGCAUGUCUCCGUCAUAGUAUCUUAUAACCUACAUCUAUCUCAUACAUUAGCCGUCCAUCACGAGAAAUUAUUAUACCGCCUAUCUACUUUCCUUCACCGCGGUAAUCACGCGCUAGAACAUUUUCACCGAUUUCAAGUUCACGGUAUUUUCUGUCGUCGGAAAAUGAAGAUUUCAUUUGGUUAUCAGACAUAUCGUUUUGUUUCAGGUCUGACAAGAUCUAGCCUACAUCAUAAAUUUCUACCCAUUAAAAGUUUCGCGGGCGACUCAUUAGUUGUACUGUGUGGUGUGUUACGAUACCGUAAAAGAAAACAAUUAAGUUUCUGAUUGAAAUCCCCCGUUUCGAAAUGCAUAACUCGUAUACCUGCCUUGAAAGUAACUACAACUUGACAAGUACCUUUCUGCAAGUCCGUUUGUACUUGGAUUGUAUGGCGCAGAUUUAAGAUGCAAAAUACCAUUAUCUUUCGUAAAUUUUGCAAAAAUAUCUGAUAAGAACUGAAGUCCAUCCGCACUAACAAUGUGUGUAGGUAACCCGUUUUAAGCAAACACUGUACGCAAAACAUAUACUGUUCGUUCGGAUGUAAUACUUUUCAUUUCAAUAACUUCUGGCCAUUUCGAAUACGCGUCUACAAUUAUUAAAAACAUUCUACCUAACAAUGGUCCGGCGAAAUCUAUAUGUACGCGCUCCCAAUGAGAACUCGGCCAUUCCAAAGGGUGAAGGUUAAUAGCUGAACGUGCCUUCUGCUGACAGAUCUCUUUCAAUAACAUCCCACCAUACAUAGCUUCGCGCUAGAUUUUUCAUUUACACUAUGCCUGGAUGGUUAGCAUGUAACACAGCUAAAAUUUGCUGGUAUGACCACUCGAAUUCCCCAAAUGAGACAUCCACGUCGGAUUGAUAAUUCACUUUUUUAAUUGGAAUAUGCUUUCAAGAGUGAAUCAUUUUCAUCUGACUUCCAACCGUUUUGAACAUUUUCAAAUACGCGUGAUAAAAUGUUUAUCUCGACGUGUCUCACGUGCUAUUUGAGCGCUAGUGACCGGUUACUGCUUGAUUUGAGAAGUGUUAAACACAUCCUCUCCAUCAUUACAAUCAUUUUGAUCUGUACGCACGGGUAAACGCGACAAUCCAUCGACAUUCAAAUUUUUCAUUGUACUCUUAUACUCUAUGUCAUAAUCAAAACCUUACAGACAUAUAGCAUAUCUCUGUACGCGUACCACUGUCGUUACAGGUAUGUUUCUCUUCGGACUGAAUAUAGAUAAGAGAACUGUUACGAAAUUUUCAUGACUGUGUUAAUUCACAAUCAGCAAUCUACAAUACUAAUUUAGAAAUGGUAAACAGCAUUUAGCAAAUAGCAAAUGGAAAAUUGCAACUGGCAUGUCCCAAGCUGCUUUCUAUUAUCACAAUGAAUUUAUAUGUUUAAUAGAAUUCCACUGAAGCCUGUGCUACGGGGCAUGAGACGUGUUUCAUAUUCUGUUACCUCAAAUCCCACCGAGUCUGAUAUUGUUUUACAUGGUUGCGUUCUAUACAUUAUAUGGGUAUUCUAAUAAAUCUUACAAACAUUUGACUAAUGGAAAACUCUGACA
Long non-coding RNA from Mercenaria mercenaria, 6239 nucleotides. RefSeq lists it as uncharacterized. The record is from RefSeq and is a predicted model, not a curated record. NCBI's taxonomy places the organism in Eukaryota, Metazoa, Mollusca, Bivalvia, Venerida, Veneridae. The transcript is spliced from 4 exons.